GGUUUAUACCCAGCAUCUCAAGGUACGCUUGGGCUUCUGACCAGAGUUUUCUCUGUGUUAGAGAACCAUCAGUUUUUGGGCAGCUCUAACGGGGGAUCUCCCGAGAGCAA
This 110-nucleotide small RNA is filed under the name Pristionchus pacificus. RNAcentral describes it as "SL2 RNA". It matches the Rfam family "SL2 RNA". Rfam says of the family: This family represents SL2 RNA. SL2 RNA is involved in trans splicing in lower eukaryotes. The record is from Rfam by way of RNAcentral. Lineage: Eukaryota; Metazoa; Nematoda; Chromadorea; Rhabditida; Neodiplogasteridae.